This 3195-nucleotide ribosomal RNA is filed under the name Triticum aestivum (bread wheat). RNAcentral describes it as "partial small subunit ribosomal RNA". Lineage: Eukaryota; Viridiplantae; Streptophyta; Magnoliopsida; Poales; Poaceae. The record is from RNAcentral.
AUGGCGACGGCGGCGUCGGCGCCCGUCUCCACGGCCACGGUGCGAGUCUCCAAUAUCCCGCCUUCCGCUGUCGCUAAGAAGCUUCUAGCCUUCUUCGAUUCCGCCGUCGCCGCUGCCGGCGCCGAGUACGCCUGCGAGAUCGCCGCCGCCCGACGCGGCUGGCUAAGUCGAGGCAAUGGGAUCGUCCAGUUCGAUUCCACCGCCGCUGCAACACUCGCCGCCGAGCUCGCCUCCUCCGGUCGCCUACCCCGCUUCCUGGGCUCCCUCCUGUCCGUCUCCCCUGCCCCCGCGGACCUUCUCCCCCGCGCGCCCGACCAUUCUCUCCGCACGGCCGGCGCGCGCCUCCUCGUCGGCAACCGCAUCGCCGAGCGCGAAUUCGAGGCGGCUGAUUCUUGGGACGGCGUCCGCGUGGAGGUCAUCCCGGGGAAGCGGCGCAUAGACCUGUACCUGGAUCACGAUUCCCAGAUGUACAGGCUUGAGGUGUUCUUCGAGGACAUCAGGAACUGCUACAAGUGCAGCUUCAAUGGGGCCGGCGCCAUCUUGCUGCAGCUCAUAUAUGCACCAAGAAUAUGCACUACAAUUUCGGGGCCUGCAGUUUAUUCAAGGUUCUCAGAUGACCGCUUUCAUGCAUGCAAGGAGGAUGUGAAGUUUACCUGGGUCAGAGCACUAGAUUUUACUCCUAACCACUCUUUCGGAAAGUGUUCAACUCUCGCCCUCGUACUUGAUGGUGCACCAGGGAAUUCUUUAAUGGAAUUUGUUGGCCCGUCGUCCAAGGUGGUUCCCCUUGUUGACUGCCUGACUGGUUGUUCAGUGUCUUAUGAAGUUCUUUUUCGUCUCAAUUCUCUUGUUCACAUGGGGAAGAUAGUUGCCAAACAUGUUAAUGCUGGUCUGUUUAAAGCUCUUGAAGAAAUUCCAGUUCAUAUUUCAAGGAGGAUUUUCGAGAAAAUGAGUAAGUUAGAGAGGGCUCAUAGCAGGAAGAGGAGCCACAAUGCUCUGCUGUCCAGUAAGACUGAAGGUGAAGGAAAAUUAAUGAUGUGCUACAGAAUUCACAUUACUCCAUCCAAAACAUACUGCUUGGGACCUGAGGAAGAAGUUUCAAAUUAUGUCGUUAAGCAUCAUAAAAAGUAUGCUUCUGACUUCGCUAGAGUUACUUUUGUUGACGAAGACCGGAGUAAACUUUUUCCAGAUGCUAUCUCAGCUAGAACUGGACGAGGGUUCUUUUCCCAACCCUUGAAAACUGGCCUGUAUUAUCGCAUUUUAUCCAUCCUGAAAGAAGGAUUUUCCAUUGGUCCAAAGAAGUAUGAAUUCUUGGCCUUCUCAGCAAGUCAACUUUGUGGAAGUUCUGUUUGGAUGUUUGUUUCUAAUGAUUCCCUGAAGGCUGAGGAUAUAAGAAGCUGGAUGGGCCACUUUGAAGAAAUCCGUUCAGUAUCUAACUCCUCCAGACAAACAGUUGAAAUCCUACCGUGGGAUGUGGAAGAGAUUCCAGAUAUUGAAGUCACAACUGAUGGCACUAAACACAUAUUUUCUGAUGGUAUCGGGAAGAUUUCUGAGAAAUUUGCCAAAGAUGUGGCUUACGAAAUUGGGUUAGACCCUACAAACCCUCCUUCAGCUUUUCAAAUAAGUAUGAAGAAAUUUGAAUCAAAGAGCACAAUGUUUAACAUUACCAGUUGGAGCAAACCCCAGCCACGCUAUAUGAAUCGUGAAAUUAUCUCUCUCCUUUCGACUUUGGGGAUAAGCGAUGAGAUAUUUGAGUUGAUGCAACAAGAUGAUAUGCGUGAAUUAGAUGAAAUGCUGACCAACAGAGAAGCUGCUCUCUCUGUUCUGGGGAAAAUUGGUAGUACCGAAACGAAGACAGCAUCGAAAAUGUUACUGCAAGGUUAUGAACCAAGUUUAGAGCCUUACCUGUUGAUGAUUCUUAAGGCCCAUCAGGAUAAUAGGCUGACUGACAUAAGAACUAGAUGUAAGAUUCAUGUUCCGAAAGGCCGUGUUCUUAUUGGUUGUUUGGACGAAACAGGCGAAUUAAAAUAUGGUCAAGUGUACAUCAGAAUUACAAAGAACAGCAAAGAGCAGAAGGAUAAUGGUCAACCAUAUUUUCUAAAGAUAAUGGGAAAGACAAAACAGCAGUUGUUGUUGGAAAAGUUGCAAUAUCGAAAAAUCCUUGUCUCCAUCCUGGUGACAUCAGAGUGCUUGAAGCUGUCUAUGACCAUGGAUUGUAUGCUAACAACCUGGUUGAUUGUGUUCCCUCAAAGAGGAGAAAGGCCUCAUCCAAAUGAAUGCUCUGGGGGCGAUUUGGACGGUGACCUCUAUUUUAUCACUUGGGAUGAGAAACUGAUUCCAGAGAAGGUUGAUUCACCUAUGGACUACACUGCAGCAAGGCCACGCAUAAUGGAUCAUGUUAUCACACUCGAGGAAAUCCAGAAGUACUUUGUGGAUUACAUGAUAAACUCGCUCGGUGCAAUCUCAACUGCUCACUUGGUCCACGCAGACCGUCAUCCAAUGAAAGCUCGGAGCCCUGAGUGCCUCCAGCUAGCUGCUUUGCAUUCAAUGGCAGUCGACUUCGCCAAGUCAGGAGCUCCAGCUGAAAUGCCGCAGUCACUGAGACCAAGGGAGUACCCUGACUUCAUGGAACGCUGGGACAAGCCAAUGUACAUCUCCAAUGGAGCUCUCGGCAAGCUCUACCGAGCGGCUGCGAGUCGGAUGCAGAGCUCUCCUGCUCCCUCCUUUGCUCAGCCAAAUCCUGUGUUCGAUCCUGACCUCGAGGUCCCUGGCUUUGAGGAGUUCCUGGAGUCCGCAGAGGAGUGCUACGACCUGUACACGGAGAAGCUGAGCGCCCUGAUGGGCCACUACGGCGUGGAGCACGAAGACAAGAUCCUGACCGGCAACAUCCGGAACAGGCUCCUGUACCUGAAGAAGGACAACAAGCGGUACUUUGAGAUGAAGGACCGCAUCAUCGACUCGGUCGAGGGCCUGCACAAGGAGGCGCGGGGCUGGUUCACGUCCUGCCCGAAGGCGGAGGCGCCGAGGAGGGCGUCAGCGUGGUACCGCGUUUCCUAUCACCCCGACCACCGGCGGCGGGAGAAGAAGCGGUUCUGGAGCUUCCCGUGGAUCAUUUGCGACGAGCUUCUGAAGAUCAAGGAGUCGAAUAACGGCGAUGACCCUUUGCAAAGUCAUUUAUCUGUGGAGAAUAUUCACUAG